This 399-nucleotide ribosomal RNA is filed under the name uncultured bacterium. Its description in RNAcentral is "bacterial SSU rRNA". It matches the Rfam family "Bacterial small subunit ribosomal RNA", at positions 356 to 772 of the family's 1533-position model. The record is from RNAcentral.
AGGGAAUAUUGGACAAUGGGGGCAACCCUGAUCCAGCAAUGCCGCGUGAGUGAUGAAGGCCUUAGGGUUGUAAAGCUCUUUUACCCGGGAUGAUAAUGACAGUACCGGGAGAAUAAGCCCCGGCUAACUCCGUGCCAGCAGCCGCGGUAAUACGGAGGGGGCUAGCGUUGUUCGGAAUUACUGGGCGUAAAGCGUACGUAGGCGGCUUUGUAAGUUAGAGGUGAAAGCCCAGAGCUCAACUCUGGAAUUGCCUUUAAGACUGCAUCGCUUGAAUCGUGGAGAGGUUAGUGGAAUUCCGAGUGUAGAGGUGAAAUUCGUAGAUAUUCGGAAGAACACCAGUGGCGAAGGCGACUAACUGGACAGGUAUUGACGCUGAGGUGCGAAAGCGUGGGGAGCAAA